This 2869-nucleotide ribosomal RNA is filed under the name Acinetobacter baumannii 44857_9. RNAcentral describes it as "bacterial LSU rRNA". It matches the Rfam family "Bacterial large subunit ribosomal RNA". The record is from RNAcentral. Lineage: Bacteria; Pseudomonadati; Pseudomonadota; Gammaproteobacteria; Moraxellales; Moraxellaceae.
CAAGUAAUUAAGUGCAUGUGGUGGAUGCCUUGGCAGUCAGAGGCGAUGAAAGACGUGAUAGCCUGCGAAAAGCUCCGGGGAGGCGGCAAAUAUCCUUUGAUCCGGAGAUGUCUGAAUGGGGGAACCCACCUACUUUAAGGUAGGUAUUGCAACAUGAAUACAUAGUGUUGCAAGGCGAACGAGGGGAAGUGAAACAUCUCAGUACCCUUAGGAAAAGAAAUCAAUUGAGAUUCCCUCAGUAGCGGCGAGCGAACGGGGAUCAGCCCAUUAAGUUAUGUGUGUUUUAGUGGAACGCUCUGGGAAGUGCGAACGUAGAGGGUGAUAUUCCCGUACACGAAAGGGCACACAUAAUGAUGACGAGUAGGGCGAGGCACGUGAAACCUUGUCUGAAUAUGGGGGGACCAUCCUCCAAGGCUAAAUACUCCUGACUGACCGAUAGUGAACCAGUACCGUGAGGGAAAGGCGAAAAGAACCCCUGUGAGGGGAGUGAAAUAGAUCCUGAAACCGCAUGCAUACAAGCAGUGGGAGCACCUUCGUGGUGUGACUGCGUACCUUUUGUAUAAUGGGUCAGCGACUUAUAUUCAGUAGCGAGGUUAACCGUAUAGGGGAGCCGUAGAGAAAUCGAGUCUUAAUAGGGCGUUUAGUUGCUGGGUAUAGACCCGAAACCAGGCGAUCUAUCCAUGAGCAGGUUGAAGGUUGGGUAACACUAACUGGAGGACCGAACCCACUGUCGUUGAAAAGCCAGGGGAUGACUUGUGGAUAGGGGUGAAAGGCUAAUCAAGCCUGGUGAUAGCUGGUUCUCCCCGAAAGCUAUUUAGGUAGCGCCUCGGACGAAUACCAUAGGGGGUAGAGCACUGUUUCGGCUAGGGGGUCAUCCCGACUUACCAAACCGAUGCAAACUCCGAAUACCUAUGAGUACUAUCCGGGAGACAGACUGCGGGUGCUAACGUCCGUAGUCAAGAGGAAAACAAUCCAGACCGCCAGCUAAGGCCCCAAAAUCAUAGUUAAGUGGGAAACGAUGUGGGAAGGCAUAGACAGCUAGGAGGUUGGCUUAGAAGCAGCCACCCUUUAAAGAAAGCGUAAUAGCUCACUAGUCGAGUCGGCCUGCGCGGAAGAUGUAACGGGGCUAAAACUAUGUGCCGAAGCUGCGGAUGUAUACUUUGUAUACGUGGUAGGGGAGCGUUCUGUAAGCCGAUGAAGGUGUGUUGAGAAGCAUGCUGGAGGUAUCAGAAGUGCGAAUGCUGACGUGAGUAACGACAAAACGGGUGAAAAACCCGUUCGCCGAAAGACCAAGGGUUCCAGUCCAACGUUAAUCGGGGCUGGGUGAGUCGACCCCUAAGGCGAGGCCGAAAGGCGUAGUCGAUGGGAAAAUGGUUAAUAUUCCAUUACUUCUGUGUAAUGCGAUGAGAGGACGGAGAAGGCUAAAUCAGCCUGGCGUUGGUUGUCCAGGUGAAAGGAUGUAGGCAUGUAUCUUAGGCAAAUCCGGGGUACUCUAUGCUGAGAUCUGAUAGCAAGCUGUACUUGUACAGCGAAGUGGUUGAUGCCAUGCUUCCAGGAAAAGUCUCUAAGCUUCAGUUACACAGGAAUCGUACCCGAAACCGACACAGGUGGUCAGGUCGAGUAGACCAAGGCGCUUGAGAGAACUCUGCUGAAGGAACUAGGCAAAAUGGUACCGUAACUUCGGGAGAAGGUACGCUGUUGUUGGUGAUGGAACUCGCUUCCUGAGCUGACGACAGCCGCAGAAACCAGGCCGCUGCAACUGUUUAUUAAAAACAUAGCACUCUGCAAACACGAAAGUGGACGUAUAGGGUGUGAUGCCUGCCCGGUGCUGGAAGGUUAAUUGAUGGGGUUAGCGUAAGCGAAGCUCUUGAUCGAAGCCCCAGUAAACGGCGGCCGUAACUAUAACGGUCCUAAGGUAGCGAAAUUCCUUGUCGGGUAAGUUCCGACCUGCACGAAUGGCAUAAUGAUGGCGGCGCUGUCUCCAGCAGAGGCUCAGUGAAAUCGAAAUCGCUGUGAAGAUGCAGUGUACCCGCGGCUAGACGGAAAGACCCCGUGAACCUUUACUGCAGCUUGACACUGAACUUUGACCUUACUUGUGUAGGAUAGGUGGGAGGCUUUGAAGCUGGAACGCUAGUUCCAGUGGAGCCGUCCUUGAAAUACCACCCUGGUAAUGUUGAGGUUCUAACUCUGUCCCGUGAUCCGGGACGAGGACCGUGUCUGGUGGGUAGUUUGACUGGGGCGGUCUCCUCCUAAAGAGUAACGGAGGAGUACGAAGGUGCGCUCAGCGUGGUCGGAAAUCACGCGUAGAGUAUAAAGGCAAAAGCGCGCUUAACUGCGAGACCCACAAGUCGAGCAGGUACGAAAGUAGGUCUUAGUGAUCCGGUGGUUCUGUAUGGAAGGGCCAUCGCUCAACGGAUAAAAGGUACUCUGGGGAUAACAGGCUGAUACCGCCCAAGAGUUCAUAUCGACGGCGGUGUUUGGCACCUCGAUGUCGGCUCAUCUCAUCCUGGGGCUGAAGCAGGUCCCAAGGGUAUGGCUGUUCGCCAUUUAAAGAGGUACGCGAGCUGGGUUUAGAACGUCGUGAGACAGUUCGGUCCCUAUCUACCGUGGGCGCUGGAAAUUUGAGAGGAUCUGCUCCUAGUACGAGAGGACCAGAGUGGACGAACCUCUGGUGUACCGGUUGUGACGCCAGUCGCAUCGCCGGGUAGCUAUGUUCGGAAGGGAUAACCGCUGAAAGCAUCUAAGCGGGAAGCCUACCUCAAGAUAAGAUUUCCCUAGGACUUUAUGUCCUCUAAAGAGCCGUUCGAGACUAGGACGUUGAUAGGUUGGAUGUGGAAGCAUAGUGAUAUGUGAAGCUGACCAAUACUAA